GAACCUGCGGAGGGAUCAUUACCGAGUUUACAACUCCCAAACCCCAAUGUGAACGUUACCAAUCUGUUGCCUCGGCGGGAUUCUCUUGCCCCGGGCGCGUCGCAGCCCCGGAUCCCAUGGCGCCCGCCGGAGGACCAACUCCAAACUCUUUUUUUCUCUCCGUCGCGGCUCCCGUCGCGGCUCUGUUUUAUUUUUGCUCUGAGCCUUUCUCGGCGACCCUAGCGGGCGUCUCGAAAAUGAAUCAAAACUUUCAACAACGGAUCUCUUGGUUCUGGCAUCGAUGAAGAACGCAGCGAAAUGCGAUAAGUAAUGUGAAUUGCAGAAUUCAGUGAAUCAUCGAAUCUUUGAACGCACAUUGCGCCCGCCAGUAUUCUGGCGGGCAUGCCUGUCCGAGCGUCAUUUCAACCCUCGAACCCCUCCGGGGGGUCGGCGUUGGGGAUCGGCCCCUCACCGGGCCGCCCCCGAAAUACAGUGGCGGUCCCGCCGCAGCCUCUCCUGCGCAGUAGUUUGCACACUCGCACCGGGAGCGCGGCGCGGCCACAGCCGUAAAACACCCCAAACUUCUGAAAUGUGACCUCGGAUCAGGUAGGAAUACCCGCUGAACUUAAGCAUAUCAAUA
This 619-nucleotide ribosomal RNA is filed under the name Trichoderma longibrachiatum. RNAcentral's name for it is "eukaryotic LSU rRNA". The stretch from base 246 to 399 matches the Rfam family "5.8S ribosomal RNA". Lineage: Eukaryota; Fungi; Ascomycota; Sordariomycetes; Hypocreales; Hypocreaceae. The record is from RNAcentral.